RNAcentral lists this ribosomal RNA (465 nucleotides) under uncultured bacterium. Its description in RNAcentral is "partial 16S ribosomal RNA". It matches the Rfam family "Bacterial small subunit ribosomal RNA", at positions 28 to 507 of the family's 1533-position model. The record is from RNAcentral.
GACGAACGCUGGCGGCGUGCUUAACACAUGCAAGUCGAACGGUGAACUCCGCUUGCGGGGGGAUCAGUGGCGAACGGGUGAGUAACACGUGGGCAACCUGCCCUCAGCUCUGGGAUAACUCCAAGAAAUUGGGGCUAAUACCGGAUAUGACCGCUGACCGCAUGGUCUGGUGGUGGAAAGAUUUAUCGGCUGGGGAUGUGGCCGAGGCCUAUCAGCUUGUUGGUGGGGUAGUGGCCUACCAAGGCGACGACGGGUAGCCGGCCUGAGAGGGUGACCGGCCACACUGGGACUGAGACACGGCCCAGACUCCUACGGGAGGCAGCAGUGGGGAAUAUUGCGCAAUGGGCGAAAGCCUGACGCAGCGACGCCGCGUGGGGGAUGACGGCCUUCGGGUUGUAAACCUCUUUCAGCAGGGACGAAGCGAAAGUGACGGUACCUGCAGAAGAAGCACCGGCCAACUACGUG